GGCACUAGCAGGCUGGGAGCAGCUACACGGAAUGGAACUGCAUCAUCGCCGUCCUCCCCCUUCUCCAUGGCCCCCUUCACGCAGGCAGAUGGAAGCAAGCGCAUCAGAUGCGGAGAUGGAGAAACCUGAAGUAGACAAGGGGAUUCAUACCAUACCCGUGUCGAUGUCGAUGUUGCUGUUCUUGGGGCCGCCCGCGGUCUAGGGUUUCGGGUCGGAGAUCCUCGGAGAAGAAGCAGACGGAGGACUCCUCUGCUGCGUGGUUGUGGGGAAGGAACAGAACACCAUGGCGGCGUCCCGAGAGAGAAGCUCGGCGCCUAGUUGUGGGACCGGACCUCCCCUGUGUGCCAG
Molecule: long non-coding RNA, 348 nt
Filed under: Triticum aestivum (bread wheat)
Lineage: Eukaryota; Viridiplantae; Streptophyta; Magnoliopsida; Poales; Poaceae
Description: long non-coding RNA (TAES_LNC010924)
Source: RNAcentral